Molecule: ribosomal RNA, 444 nt
Filed under: uncultured Bacteroidota bacterium
Lineage: Bacteria; Pseudomonadati; Bacteroidota
Description: bacterial SSU rRNA
Rfam family: Bacterial small subunit ribosomal RNA
Source: RNAcentral
GGGCCCGCACAAGCGGAGGAACAUGUGGUUUAAUUCGAUGAUACGCGAGGAACCUUACCCGGGAUUGAAAUGUACCUGAAUACGUAUGAAAGUAUGUAGCUGUUAAAAGCAGGUAUGUAGGUGCUGCAUGGUUGUCGUCAGCUCGUGCCGUGAGGUGUCGGCUUAAGUGCCAUAACGAGCGCAACCCUGAUUGUCAGUUGCUAGCAAGUAAUGUUGAGGACUCUGACGAGACUGCCGGCGUAAGCUGUGAGGAAGGUUGGGAUGACGUCAAAUCAGCACGGCCCUUACAUCCGGGGCGACACACGUGUUACAAUGGUGGGGACAAAGGGCAGGGCUACCUGGCGACAGGAUGCUAAUCUCCAAACCCCAUCUCAGUUCGGAUCGGAGUCUGCAACUCGACUCCGUGAAGCUGGAUUCGCUAGUAAUCGCGCAUCAGCCAUGGCG